This 334-nucleotide long non-coding RNA is filed under the name Bos taurus (domestic cattle). Its description in RNAcentral is "long non-coding RNA NONBTAT008176". Lineage: Eukaryota; Metazoa; Chordata; Mammalia; Artiodactyla; Bovidae. The record is from RNAcentral.
GUUUCCUUAUCAAAUGGUUAUUUCGAGUAAUGAAGGGAAUUGCAUAAACUCUCUACUUAUAAGCCUUUUACUCUGAUCAUGGCAUUCAGAGUGCUUGGGAAGCAAUGCCAGUGACAUCUGGGAUAAAAGGAACAGUAUGCUACUUGAUUAUUAUAUGUGUCAUUUCUUAGAUUUUAAAUUUCUGAAAUAAGGAUGCAGUUGAAAUUUUUAUUAACAUUUUAAGGUGAUAGUGUCCCUCCUCUUCUUUUUUUAAUCCAAACUAUUGUUACAUAGGUGGUGUUUCUAUAAAACAGAGGCUGUGAGAGAGCUGACUGACCCAGGAAAUCUACAUCAG